UGCCCCAUAGUCUGGGAUACCACUUGGAAAACAGGUGCUAAUACCGGAUAAGAAAGCAGAUCGCAUGAUCAGCUUUUUAAAAGGCGGCGUAAGCUGUCGCUAUGGGGAUCGGGCCCCCGCGGUGCAUUAGCUAGUUGGUAAAGGUAAAAGGGCUUACCAAGGCGAUGAUGCAUAGCCCGAGUUUGAGAGACUGAUCGGCCACAUUGGGACUGAGACACGGCCCAAACUCCUACGGGAGGCAGCAGUAGGGAAUCCUCCACAAUGGACGCAAGUCUGAUGGAGCAACGCCGCGUGAGUGAAGUAAGGUUUUCGGAUCGUAAAGCUCUGUUGUUGGUGAAGAAGGAUAGAGGUAGUAACUGGCCUUUAUUUGACGGUAAUCAACCAGAAAGUCACGGGCUAACUACGUGCCAGCAGCCGCGGUAAAU
This 425-nucleotide ribosomal RNA is filed under the name uncultured Lactobacillus sp. RNAcentral's name for it is "bacterial SSU rRNA". It matches the Rfam family "Bacterial small subunit ribosomal RNA", at positions 127 to 525 of the family's 1533-position model. The record is from RNAcentral. Lineage: Bacteria; Bacillati; Bacillota; Bacilli; Lactobacillales; Lactobacillaceae.